Molecule: ribosomal RNA, 486 nt
Filed under: uncultured bacterium
Lineage: Bacteria
Description: partial 16S ribosomal RNA
Rfam family: Bacterial small subunit ribosomal RNA
Source: RNAcentral
AUUGAACGCUGGCGGCAUGCCUUACACAUGCAAGUCGAACGGCAGCACGGGUGCUCGCACCUGGUGGCGAGUGGCGAACGGGUGAGUAAUACAUCGGAACAUGUCCUGUAGUGGGGGAUAGCCCGGCGAAAGCCGGAUUAAUACCGCAUACGAUCUACGGAUGAAAGCGGGGGACCUUCGGGCCUCGCGCUAUAGGGUUGGCCGAUAGCUGAUUAGCUAGUUGGUGGGGUAAAGGCCUACCAAGGCGACGAUCAGUAGCUGGUCUGAGAGGACGACCAGCCACACUGGGACUGAGACACGGCCCAGACUCCUACGGGAGGCAGCAGUGGGGAAUUUUGGACAAUGGGCGAAAGCCUGAUCCAGCAAUGCCGCGUGUGUGAAGAAGGCCUUCGGGUUGUAAAGCACUUUUGUCCGGAAAGAAAUCCUUGGCUCUAAUACAGUCGGGGGAUGACGGUACCGGAAGAAUAAGCACCGGCUAACUACGUG